This 459-nucleotide ribosomal RNA is filed under the name uncultured bacterium. RNAcentral's name for it is "partial 16S ribosomal RNA". It matches the Rfam family "Bacterial small subunit ribosomal RNA", at positions 338 to 795 of the family's 1533-position model. The record is from RNAcentral.
CCUACGGGAGGCAGCAGUGAGGAAUAUUGGUCAAUGGACGAGAGUCUGAACCAGCCAAGUAGCGUGAAGGAUGACUGCCCUAUGGGUUGUAAACUUCUUUUAUAAAGGAAUAAAACGAGGCACGUGUGCCUUUUUGCAUGUACUUAUGAAUAAGGAUCGGCGAACUCCGUGCCAGCAGCCGAGGUAAUACGGAGGAUCCGAGCGUUAUCCGGAUUUAUUGGGUUUUAAGGGGGCGUAGAUGGGUUGUUAAGUCAGUUGUGAAAGUUUGCGGGUCAACCGUAAAAUUGCAAUUGAUACUGGCAGUCUUGAGUACAGUUGAGGUAGGCGGAAUGCGUGGUGUAGCGGUGAAAUGCUUAGAUAUCACGAAGAACUCCGAUUGCGAAGGCAGCUCACUGGACUGCAACUGACACUGAGGCACGAAAGUGUGGGUAUCAAACAGGAUUAGAUACCCCUGUAGUC